GCGAGCAUAGCUCAGUUGGAUAGAGCAUCCGCCUUCUAAGCGGAUGGUCGCAGGUUCGAGUCCUGCUGUUCGCACCA
Molecule: transfer RNA, 77 nt
Filed under: Pseudomonas cichorii
Lineage: Bacteria; Pseudomonadati; Pseudomonadota; Gammaproteobacteria; Pseudomonadales; Pseudomonadaceae
Description: tRNA-Arg
Rfam family: tRNA
About the family: Transfer RNA (tRNA) molecules are approximately 80 nucleotides in length.
Source: RNAcentral